GUACACAAAAAUGCACAUAUUGUGAGCUCGAUGAGUAGGGCGGGACACGUGGUAUCCUGUCUGAAUAUGGGGGGACCAUCCUCCAAGGCUAAAUACUCCUGACUGACCGAUAGUGAACCAGUACCGUGAGGGAAAGGCGAAAAGAACCCCGGCGAGGGGAGUGAAAAAGAACCUGAAACCGUGUACGUACAAGCAGUGGGAGCCUCUUUAUGGGGUGACUGCGUACCUUUUGUAUAAUGGGUCAGCGACUUAUAUUCUGUAGCAAGGUUAACCGAAUAGGGGAGCCGAAGGGAAACCGAGUCUUAACUGGGCGUUAAGUUGCAGGGUAUAGACCCGAAACCCGGUGAUCUAGCCAUGGGCAGGUUGAAGGUUGGGUAACACUAACUGGAGGACCGAACCGACUAAUGUUGAAAAAUUAGCGGAUGACUUGUGGCUGGGGGUGAAAGGCCAAUCAAACCGGGAGAUAGCUGGUUCUCCCCGAAAGCUAUUUAGGUAGCGCCUCGUGAAUUCAUCUCCGGGGGUAGAGCACUGUUUCGGCAAGGGGGUCAUCCCGACUUACCAACCCGAUGCAAACUGCGAAUACCGGAGAAUGUUAUCACGGGAGACACACGGCGGGUGCUAACGUCCGUCGUGAAGAGGGAAACAACCCAGACCGCCAGCUAAGGUCCCAAAGUCAUGGUUAAGUGGGAAACGAUGUGGGAAGGCCCAGACAGCCAGGAUGUUGGCUUAGAAGCAGCCAUCAUUUAAAGAAAGCGUAAUAGCUCACUGGUCGAGUCGGCCUGCGCGGAAGAUGUAACGGGGCUAAACCAUGCACCGAAGCUGCGGCAGCGACACUAUGUGUUGUUGGGUAGGGGAGCGUUCUGUAAGCCUGUGAAGGUGGCCUGUGAGGGUUGCUGGAGGUAUCAGAAGUGCGAAUGCUGACAUAAGUAACGAUAAAGCGGGUGAAAAGCCCGCUCGCCGGAAGACCAAGGGUUCCUGUCCAACGUUAAUCGGGGCAGGGUGAGUCGACCCCUAAGGCGAGGCCGAAAGGCGUAGUCGAUGGGAAACAGGUUAAUAUUCCUGUACUUGGUGUUACUGCGAAGGGGGGACGGAGAAGGCUAUGUUGGCCGGGCGACGGUUGUCCCGGUUUAAGCGUGUAGGCUGGUUUUCCAGGCAAAUCCGGAAAACCAAGGCUGAGGCGUGAUGACGAGGCACUACGGUGCUGAAGCGACAAAUGCCCUGCUUCCAGGAAAAGCCUCUAAGCAUCAGGUAACAUCAAAUCGUACCCCAAACCGACACAGGUGGUCAGGUAGAGAAUACCAAGGCGCUUGAGAGAACUCGGGUGAAGGAACUAGGCAAAAUGGUGCCGUAACUUCGGGAGAAGGCACGCUGAUAUGUAGGUGAAGCGACUUGCUCGUGGAGCUGAAAUCAGUCGAAGAUACCAGCUGGCUGCAACUGUUUAUUAAAAACACAGCACUGUGCAAACACGAAAGUGGACGUAUACGGUGUGACGCCUGCCCGGUGCCGGAAGGUUAAUUGAUGGGGUUAGCGGUAACGCGAAGCUCUUGAUCGAAGCCCCGGUAAACGGCGGCCGUAACUAUAACGGUCCUAAGGUAGCGAAAUUCCUUGUCGGGUAAGUUCCGACCUGCACGAAUGGCGUAAUGAUGGCCAGGCUGUCUCCACCCGAGACUCAGUGAAAUUGAACUCGCUGUGAAGAUGCAGUGUACCCGCGGCAAGACGGAAAGACCCCGUGAACCUUUACUAUAGCUUGACACUGAACAUUGAGCCUUGAUGUGUAGGAUAGGUGGGAGGCUUUGAAGUGUGGACGCCAGUCUGCAUGGAGCCGACCUUGAAAUACCACCCUUUAAUGUUUGAUGUUCUAACGUUGGCCCGUAAUCCGGGUUGCGGACAGUGUCUGGUGGGUAGUUUGACUGGGGCGGUCUCCUCCUAAAGAGUAACGGAGGAGCACGAAGGUUGGCUAAUCCUGGUCGGACAUCAGGAGGUUAGUGCAAUGGCAUAAGCCAGCUUGACUGCGAGCGUGACGGCGCGAGCAGGUGCGAAAGCAGGUCAUAGUGAUCCGGUGGUUCUGAAUGGAAGGGCCAUCGCUCAACGGAUAAAAGGUACUCCGGGGAUAACAGGCUGAUACCGCCCAAGAGUUCAUAUCGACGGCGGUGUUUGGCACCUCGAUGUCGGCUCAUCACAUCCUGGGGCUGAAGUAGGUCCCAAGGGUAUGGCUGUUCGCCAUUUAAAGUGGUACGCGAGCUGGGUUUAGAACGUCGUGAGACAGUUCGGUCCCUAUCUGCCGUGGGCGCUGGAGAACUGAGGGGGGCUGCUCCUAGUACGAGAGGACCGGAGUGGACGCAUCACUGGUGUUCGGGUUGUCAUGCCAAUGGCACUGCCCGGUAGCUAAAUGCGGAAGAGAUAAGUGCUGAAAGCAUCUAAGCACGAAACUUGCCCCGAGAUGAGUUCUCCCUGACUCCUUGAG
This 2464-nucleotide ribosomal RNA is filed under the name Escherichia coli. RNAcentral describes it as "partial 23S ribosomal RNA". It matches the Rfam family "Bacterial large subunit ribosomal RNA", at positions 375 to 2825 of the family's 2925-position model. The record is from RNAcentral. Lineage: Bacteria; Pseudomonadati; Pseudomonadota; Gammaproteobacteria; Enterobacterales; Enterobacteriaceae.